This 305-nucleotide ribosomal RNA is filed under the name uncultured bacterium. RNAcentral's name for it is "bacterial SSU rRNA". It matches the Rfam family "Bacterial small subunit ribosomal RNA", at positions 335 to 657 of the family's 1533-position model. The record is from RNAcentral.
AGCCCUACGGGAGGCAGCAGUGGGGGAUAUUGCACAAUGGGGGGAACCCUGAUGCAGCGACGCCGCGUGAAGGAAGAAGUAUCUCGGUAUGUAAACUUCUAUCAGCAGGGAAGAAAAUGACGGUACCUGACUAAGAAGCCCCGGCUAACUACGUGCCAGCAGCCGCGGUAAUACGUAGGGGGCAAGCGUUAUCCGGAUUUACUGGGUGUAAAGGGAGCGUAGACGGAAUAGCAAGUCUGAUGUGAAAACCCGGGGCUCAACUCCGGGAGUGCAUUGGAAACUGUUGAUCUAGAGUGUCGGAGAGG